Molecule: long non-coding RNA, 542 nt
Organism: Teleopsis dalmanni
Lineage: Eukaryota; Metazoa; Arthropoda; Insecta; Diptera; Diopsidae
Exons: 3
Source: RefSeq, a predicted model, not a curated record
AAAUAUAAAGAAAAAUAUUUUUAAUUAACCGCACAAUAAACGUCCAACAAAAAACGUGUCUAACAAAUACUUGAGUAAAGCAAUUAACAGUAGGUAGAUUGCAUGUGAAAUAUAAAAUAUCACAGAGAACUCUACCUUGGGACACUUCUGCACUGAUUUUGGUGGCAAAAGGAACUGAACAUUUUCUGCAGAACAAUGCCGUUCAAAGUAAUUGUACGUAACACAUUAUGGUUCAUCUGGGUAAUCGCGAAGAAAACAGUGUAUUAUGGUUGGACCCCACUAUUUUACUAUUUGGCAUACAGAAAGUAUAAUGGACAUCCUCCACCUGCCUGUUUGGAAGUUUUUGUGCCUAAACUUUCCCUAAGUUAAUGGAUGUUAUACUAUUUAGCGAUAGGAUGCAUCACAUUAAGUAUUUGUUAAGGAAUUUGAAGCGUUUACGUCAACGGUGCAAUACAACUACAUAUAUUAAUUGGCGAUUUUACAUGGAAUGUAUUUAUGUAUAUAAAAUACUAUUUUUGUAAAUAAAUACGCACAAAAAUAUU